CACCAGGGUCCUGAGGGAGCCGGAGAGAUGGGAGGAAAGCUCCUGGACUCCUGCCACGUCUUACAUUAGCAGCAUCUUCUCCAACAGCCUGCCCCCAGGGACACCAUCUGAACCAGCUGAAUUCCGGGCACUGCUUCACCUUGGAAAGGAGGCCACAGCUCUCUAGAGCAGCCCGAAGAGGAUGCCGAGGGCCCUGGAGGGAGCAGACCAGCCCGGAGGCUCACACUGCAGAGCCGGGGUCUGACCUCGUCUUUAGUCACCCACCUGAGAGCAUCA
Bos taurus (domestic cattle) is the source of this 276-nucleotide long non-coding RNA. Lineage: Eukaryota; Metazoa; Chordata; Mammalia; Artiodactyla; Bovidae. The record is from Ensembl.